GCGGCAACAUCCGUGGGGAUC
RNAcentral lists this non-coding RNA (21 nucleotides) under Arabidopsis thaliana (thale cress). The record is from RNAcentral. Lineage: Eukaryota; Viridiplantae; Streptophyta; Magnoliopsida; Brassicales; Brassicaceae.